RNAcentral lists this ribosomal RNA (514 nucleotides) under uncultured bacterium. RNAcentral's name for it is "partial 16S ribosomal RNA". It matches the Rfam family "Bacterial small subunit ribosomal RNA", at positions 28 to 523 of the family's 1533-position model. The record is from RNAcentral.
GACGAACGCUGGCGGCGUGCCUAAUACAUGCAAGUCGUACGCACCGACAGGGAACUUGUUCCCUGAACGUGAGUGGCGAACGGGUGAGUAACACGUGGGAAACCUGCCCUGGAGUGGGGGAUAACCAUCGGAAACGAUGGCUAAUACCGCAUAUCCAAUCCAACCGCAUGGUUGGAUUGACAAAGACGGCUUCGGCUGUCGCUUCAGGAUGGUCCCGCGGUGCAUUAGCUAGUUGGUAAGGUAACGGCUUACCAAGGCAAGGAUGCAUAGCCGACCUGAGAGGGUGAUCGGCCACAUUGGGACUGAGACACGGCCCAAACUCCUACGGGAGGCAGCAGUAGGGAAUCUUCCGCAAUGGACGCAAGUCUGACGGAGCAACGCCGCGUGUGUGAAGAAGGUCUUCGGAUCGUAAAGCACUGUUAUUAGAGAAGAACAGCCGGUAGAGUAACUGUUACCGGUUUGACGGUAUCUAACCAGAAAGUGACGGCUAACUACGUGCCAGCAGCCGCUGUAA